CCUACGGGUGGCAGCAGUGGGGAAUAUUGCACAAUGGGGGAAACCCUGAUGCAGCGACGCCGCGUGAGGGAAGAAACGCCUCGGCGCGGUAAGCUCUGUCAGCAGGAACGAUAUUGACGGUACCUGAAGAGGAAUCCCCGGCUAACUACGUGCCAGCAGCCGCGGGAAUACGGAGGGGGCACGCGGUAUCCGGAUUUACUGGGGGUAAAGGGAGCGUAGACGGCGGGGCAAGUCUGGAGGGAAAGGCCGGGGCCCAACCCCGGGACCGCUCUGGAAACUGCCCGGCUGGAGUGCGGGAGAGGUAAGCGGAAUUCGUAGUGUAGCGGUGAAAUGCGUAGAUAUUAGGAGGAACACCAGCGGCGAAGGCGGCUUACUGGACCGUGACUGACGUUGAGGCUCGAAAGCGUGGGGAGCAAACAGGAUUAGAUACCCCAGUAGUC
This 440-nucleotide ribosomal RNA is filed under the name uncultured bacterium. RNAcentral describes it as "partial 16S ribosomal RNA". It matches the Rfam family "Bacterial small subunit ribosomal RNA", at positions 338 to 795 of the family's 1533-position model. The record is from RNAcentral.